RNAcentral lists this ribosomal RNA (301 nucleotides) under uncultured bacterium. RNAcentral's name for it is "partial 16S ribosomal RNA". It matches the Rfam family "Bacterial small subunit ribosomal RNA", at positions 509 to 808 of the family's 1533-position model. The record is from RNAcentral.
CAGCCGCCGCGGGAAUACGUAGGUCCCGAGCGUUGUCCGGAUUUAUUGGGCGUAAAGCGAGCGCAGGCGGUCAGAAAAGUCUGAAGUGAAAGGCAGUGGCUCAACCAUUGUAGGCUUUGGAAACUGUUUAACUUGAGUGCAGAAGGGGAGAGUGGAAUUCCAUGUGUAGCGGUGAAAUGCGUAGAUAUAUGGAGGAACACCGGUGGCGAAAGCGGCUCUCUGGUCUGUAACUGACGCUGAGGCUCGAAAGCGUGGGGAGCAAACAGGAUUAGAUACCCCCGUAGUCCCUGUCUCUUAUACA